AUGAAGAUGGUUGAAACUGAGAAACAUUUGGUAUUUUGAUUGGUAUACAAACUUAGUGAGUUGGCUUUGAUAUUGCCGGUGUCUACGACAUCUAUUGAGAGAGCUUUUUUAGCAGUGAAGAUUAUCAAGAUUAAACUACGUAGUAAGACCAAUAAUGAAUGGUUCAAUGACUUGAUGAUAUGUUACACCGAGAGGGUAUUCAAGUCAGUUGAUGAUAAGGAUAUUAUUCAAACAUUUACUCCAAUGAGUUCUCAGAAAGGGAAUUUGCCUCGUGAUUUUCUUUAG
Molecule: ribosomal RNA, 285 nt
Filed under: Triticum aestivum (bread wheat)
Lineage: Eukaryota; Viridiplantae; Streptophyta; Magnoliopsida; Poales; Poaceae
Description: partial small subunit ribosomal RNA
Source: RNAcentral